This 503-nucleotide ribosomal RNA is filed under the name uncultured bacterium. RNAcentral's name for it is "partial 16S ribosomal RNA". It matches the Rfam family "Bacterial small subunit ribosomal RNA", at positions 30 to 523 of the family's 1533-position model. The record is from RNAcentral.
AUUGAACGCUGGCGGCAGGCUUAACACAUGCAAGUCGAGCGGGGUGAUGGUGCUUGCACUAUCACUUAGCGGCGGACGGGUGAGUAAUGCUUAGGAAUCUGCCUAUUAGUGGGGGACAACAUCUCGAAAGGGAUGCUAAUACCGCAUACGUCCUACGGGAGAAAGCAGGGGAUCACUUGUGACCUUGUGCUAAUAGAUGAGCCUAAGUCGGAUUAGCUAGUUGGUGGGGUAAAGGCCUACCAAGGCGACGAUCUGUAGCGGGUCUGAGAGGAUGAUCCGCCACACUGGGACUGAGACACGGGCCAGACUCCUACGGGAGGCAGCAGUGGGGAAUAUUGGACGAUGGGGGGAACCCUGAUCCAGCCAUGCCGCGUGUGUGAAGAAGGCCUUAUGGUUGUAAAGCACUUUAAGCGAGGAGGAGGCUUACCUAGUUAAUACCUGGGAUAAGUGGACGUUACUCGCAGAAUAAGCACCGGCUAACUCUGUGCCAGCCGCCGCAGUAA